CCUACGGGAGGCAGCAGUGGGGGAUAUUGCACAAUGGGCGGAACCCUGAUGCAGCGACGCCGCGUGGGUGAAGGAGCGUUUCGGCGCGUAAAGCCCUAUCGGCAGGGAAGAAGAUGACGGUACCUGACCAAGAAGCCCCGGCUAACUACGUUCCAGCAGCCGCGGUAAUAAGUAGGGGGCCAGCGUUAUCCGGAUUUACUGGGUGUAAGGGGGGCGCAGACGGCAAUGCAAGGCAGUAGUGAAAGUCCGGGGCCCAACCCCGGGACUGCACUUGGAACUGGAUGGCUGGAGUACAGGAGGGGCAGGCGGAAUUCGUGGUGUAGCGGUGAAAUGCGUAGAUAUUAGGAGGAACACCGGUGGCGAAGGCGGCCUGCUGGACUGUGACUGACGUUGAGGCCCGAAGGCGUGGGGAGCAAACAGGAUUAGAUACCCUUGUAGUC
This 440-nucleotide ribosomal RNA is filed under the name uncultured bacterium. RNAcentral describes it as "partial 16S ribosomal RNA". It matches the Rfam family "Bacterial small subunit ribosomal RNA", at positions 338 to 795 of the family's 1533-position model. The record is from RNAcentral.